This 146-nucleotide ribosomal RNA is filed under the name uncultured bacterium. RNAcentral describes it as "partial 16S ribosomal RNA". It matches the Rfam family "Bacterial small subunit ribosomal RNA", at positions 335 to 478 of the family's 1533-position model. The record is from RNAcentral.
ACUCCUACGGGAGGCAGCAGUGAGGAAUAUUGGACAAUGGGCGCAAGCCUGAUCCAGCCAUGCCGCGUGCAGGAUGACGGUCCUAUGGAUUGUAAACUGCUUUUGCACAGGAAGAAACAACGCUACGUGUAGCGUCUUGACGGUAC